GAAAAUAUCAAAUUUCACAAUGCUCUGGCUAGCAGUGUCUAGAAUAAAUCUCAUCAUGGAUGCAUUGUGUUUUUCCCUAUUUUCUGCUGAAAAUUAUAUGGUAUUCACGUCUUGCCUCGUUGCGCUUAGCGAACUCGGAUGGUCCAAUGUAAUAACUUAUCCAGUUUACUGGUAUAAAACAUGUUACUUGUUGCGGUCUUCUCCCAAUUGGGGUAGUUGGUCUGGAGUCAAUUUGCUGCGUCGGG
RNAcentral lists this long non-coding RNA (245 nucleotides) under Elaeis guineensis (African oil palm). Its description in RNAcentral is "long non-coding RNA (EGUI_LNC070021)". Lineage: Eukaryota; Viridiplantae; Streptophyta; Magnoliopsida; Arecales; Arecaceae. The record is from RNAcentral.